AACAACUGUAAAUAGUACUAGUGGUGGUGGGGGGGUUACAGUGGUGGGAUCCGGUGCUCCCUCAGAUUACCAAAUCGCUCCCAGGUCCGACAACAACCCAAAUUCAACACCUGGAUCCGCGCCACCAGCUCCGCCGCAAGCUCCGCCUCAAGCACCACCGCAAGCACCACCGCCCCACCCGCCGCCCGCGGCGGGGCCUGUGCCAGCGAAGAAGAAGAGAGGGAGGCCUAGAAAGUAUGGUCCGGACGGGAGUGUCACCGUGACCUUGUCUCCGAAGCCGAUUUCGUCGGCGGCUCCGGCGCUUUUGCCACCGGUGAUUGAUUUCUCAGCUGGAAAACAAAAGAAAAUAAAGCCAGUGAGCAAAGCCAAGUAUGAACUGGAGAAUUUAGGUAACGAAUGGAUAAAUUUGUCGAUUUUAUGGAUUCCUUUUGAGCUGAAGUGUUUUGUGCUUGUUUUGUGGUUGAAGUUUGAAUCUUGGUGAGAAAUUUGAUGUUUGAGCUUAAGUGGUUUUUGUGCUUGUUUUAGGUUUAAAGUUUGGAUCUUUGAUGUUUAUAUCAGUCGUCUGUUUUAAUUUAAGAGAAAUUUGGGUGGUUUUUAGUAAGGGUUCUGUGAAAGUGGGACCUGUGAAAUGAUGCUUCAGUUGAGAUCUUGAUAUGUGUGUUUGUGGGUGUAGUGGGUUUGGAAAGAGAGUAGUGAGGGUAUGUAAGUCGGUGUAGUAACGAGGGAAUCUUGCUGUUACGAGGGUGUAUUUUGGCGCUUGUGUUCCCUUUUUUGGGGAAAGAAUUUGUGGAAGGUACUGUUGUUGGUUACCUGGUAAAGGUCUGCUGCUGUGUUUUGUAUGGUUAACGGAAUUGGAAUAGAGAGAGAUGUCAUCGCUUUGCUUCCAAAAAGAAAGGAGGGAGUUUUUUUGUUGCCGUGUUUUGAU
RNAcentral lists this long non-coding RNA (925 nucleotides) under Populus tremula. RNAcentral's name for it is "long non-coding RNA (PTRE_LNC000078)". Lineage: Eukaryota; Viridiplantae; Streptophyta; Magnoliopsida; Malpighiales; Salicaceae. The record is from RNAcentral.